UGUAAAUUCAUGCCUUAAAUUUUCAACUCUUGAAAAUAUGAAUUUACAUUCCUACUAACUCAAAGGAUGUAUCACAGACACAAUGUACACAAUGUGAUAGAAGAAUAAUCUUUUUAUUCAUUUAUAGUCAAAAUUAUAAAUUUGCCCUUAGAUCUGUACAGGAAUGUGUCAGUCGAUCUGGUAUCUAGGGCACACAUCUAACAAACUCCUACUUGACCUAAUGCCAAUUGGCUACAUAUCUAAGUCCCAUCUUCUCAAAGUGGGCUUUGAUCUUCUGUUGGCCCAAUGGCUUAGUCAGCGGGUCUGCCACUUUAUCUGUGGAGUCGACU
This 329-nucleotide long non-coding RNA is filed under the name Elaeis guineensis (African oil palm). RNAcentral's name for it is "long non-coding RNA (EGUI_LNC047254)". Lineage: Eukaryota; Viridiplantae; Streptophyta; Magnoliopsida; Arecales; Arecaceae. The record is from RNAcentral.